ACUCAAAUGAAUUGACGGGGGCCCGCACAAGCAGCGGAGCAUGUGGUUUAAUUCGACGCAACGCGAAGAACCUUACCAGGUCUUGACAUCCAUUUAAAACUUAAGAGAUUAAGUGUGAGCAUGCUCAAAAUGAGACAGGUGGUGCAUGGUUGUCGUCAGCUCGUGUCGUGAGAUGUUGGGUUAAGUCCCGCAACGAGCGCAACCCCUACGGAUAGUUACUAACGGAUAAUGCUGAGGACUUUAUCAGGACUGCCGAGGACAACUCGGAGGAAGGUGGGGACGACGUCAAAUCAUCAUGCCCCUUAUGACCUGGGCUACACACGUGCUACAAUGGCCGUAACAAAGAGUUGCGAAGUCGCAAGGCGGAGCGAAUCUCAAAAAAACGGUCUCAGUUCGGAUUGUGGGCUGCAACCCGCCCACAUGAAGUCGGAGUUGCUAGUAAUCGCGAAUCAGCAUGUCGCGGUGAAUACGUUCCCGGGCCUUGUACACACCGCCCGU
This 498-nucleotide ribosomal RNA is filed under the name uncultured bacterium. RNAcentral's name for it is "bacterial SSU rRNA". It matches the Rfam family "Bacterial small subunit ribosomal RNA", at positions 899 to 1397 of the family's 1533-position model. The record is from RNAcentral.